Molecule: transfer RNA, 85 nt
Filed under: Streptomyces sp. NEAU-sy36
Lineage: Bacteria; Bacillati; Actinomycetota; Actinomycetes; Kitasatosporales; Streptomycetaceae
Description: tRNA-Ser
Source: RNAcentral
GGAGAGGUGCCCGGAGUGGUUGAUCGGGGACCAGCGAGAGGUCGGGUCCGUGAGGGUCCACGCAGGUUCGAAUCCUGCCUCUCCG